Molecule: ribosomal RNA, 597 nt
Filed under: uncultured Tannerella sp.
Lineage: Bacteria; Pseudomonadati; Bacteroidota; Bacteroidia; Bacteroidales; Tannerellaceae
Description: bacterial SSU rRNA
Rfam family: Bacterial small subunit ribosomal RNA
Source: RNAcentral
GGCGCACGGGUGAGUAACGCGUAUGUAACCUGCCCGCAACAGGGGGAUAACCCGGCGAAAGUCGGACUAAUACCGCAUAAAACAGGGGUCCCGCAUGGGAAUAUUUGUUAAAGAUUUAUCGGUUGCGGAUGGGCAUGCGUACCAUUAGGUAGUUGGUGAGGUAACGGCUCACCAAGCCUUCGAUGGUUAGGGGUUCUGAGAGGAAGGUCCCCCACACUGGUACUGAGACACGGACCAGACUCCUACGGGAGGCAGCAGUGAGGAAUAUUGGUCAAUGGGCGAGAGCCUGAACCAGCCAAGUCGCGUGAAGGAUGACUGCCCUAUGGGUUGUAAACUUCUUUUACAAGGGAAUAAAAUGGGAUACGUGUAUUUUAUUGCAUGUACCUUGGGAAUAAGCAUCGGCUAACUCCGUGCCAGCAGCCGCGGUAAUACGGAGGAUGCGAGCGUUAUCCGGAUUUAUUGGGUUUAAAGGGUGCGUAGGUGGGCUGUUAAGUCAGCGGUGAAAGUUUGUCCCUUAACGAUAAAAUUGCCGUUGAAACUGGUAGUCUUGAGUAUAGAUGAAGUAGGCGGAAUGCGUGGUGUAGCGGUGAAAUGCAU